RNAcentral lists this ribosomal RNA (388 nucleotides) under Temora sp. RNAcentral's name for it is "partial small subunit ribosomal RNA". It matches the Rfam family "Eukaryotic small subunit ribosomal RNA", at positions 587 to 975 of the family's 1831-position model. The record is from RNAcentral. Lineage: Eukaryota; Metazoa; Arthropoda; Copepoda; Calanoida; Temoridae.
AGCUCCAAUAGCGUAUAUUAAAGUUGUUGUGGUUAAAAAGCUCGUAGUUGGAUUUCGGCGGGUAUAGGUUGGUUUGAAUUGCUUCAAUACUGACUUUUUUACCCGUGUGUUUUGCCAGAAUUUAACGGGUGAUCUUCGCCGAUUGUCUGUUAGAACUGACAGGUUUACUUUGAAAAAAUUAGAGUGCUCAAAGCAAGCUUGAUUGCUUGAAUAUUCGUGCAUGGAAUAAUAGAAUAGGAAGUCGUUUCUAUUUUGUUGGUUUUCGGAAAUCGACUUAAUGAUUAAUAGGGACAGUCGGGGGCAUUUGUAUUCAAACGACAGAGGUGAAAUUCUUGGACCGUUUGAAGACAAACUACUGCGAAAGCAUUUGCCAAGAAUGUUUUCAUUA